CCUACGGGGGGCAUCAGUGAGGAAUAUUGGUCAAUGGACGAGAGUCUGAACCAGCCAAGUAGCGUGAAGGAUGACUGCCCUAUGGGUUGUAAACUUCUUUUAUAAAGGAAUAAAGUGAGGCACGUGUGCCUGUUUGUAUGUACUUUAUGAAUAAGGAUCGGCUAACUCCGUGCCAGCAGCCGCGGUAAUACGGAGGAUCCGAGCGUUAUCCGGAUUUAUUGGGUUUAAAGGGAGCGUAGAUGGGUUGUUAAGUCAGUUGUGAAAGUUUGCGGCUCAACCGUAAAAUUGCAAUUGAUACUGGCAGUCGUGAGUACAGUUGAGGUAGGCGGAAUUCGGGGUGUAGCGGUGAAAUGCUUAGAUAUCACGAAGAACUCCGAUUGCGAAGGCAGCUUACUAAACUGCCACUGACAUUGAUGCUCGAAAGUGUGGGUAUCAAACAGGAUUAGAUACCCGAGUAGUC
This 460-nucleotide ribosomal RNA is filed under the name uncultured bacterium. RNAcentral's name for it is "partial 16S ribosomal RNA". It matches the Rfam family "Bacterial small subunit ribosomal RNA", at positions 338 to 795 of the family's 1533-position model. The record is from RNAcentral.